Molecule: ribosomal RNA, 279 nt
Filed under: uncultured archaeon
Lineage: Archaea
Description: partial 16S rRNA
Rfam family: Archaeal small subunit ribosomal RNA
Source: RNAcentral
GAGACCCACGCCAACAGUUGCCAGCUCGUCCUCCGGGAUGGAGGGGACACUGUUGGGACCGCCUCUGCUAAAGAGGAGGAAGGAAUGGGCAACGGUAGGUCAGCAUGCCCCGAAUUAUCCGGGCUACACGCGAGCUACAAUGGUUGGUACAAUGGGUAUCUACCCCGAAAGGGGAUGGAAAUCUCCUAAAGCCAAUCUUAGUUCGGAUUGAGGGCUGCAACUCGCCCUCGUGAAGCUGGAAUCCGUAGUAAUCGCGUUUCAACAGAACGCGGUGAAUAC